Molecule: ribosomal RNA, 253 nt
Filed under: uncultured bacterium
Lineage: Bacteria
Description: partial 16S ribosomal RNA
Rfam family: Bacterial small subunit ribosomal RNA
Source: RNAcentral
UACAGAGGGGGCAAGCGUUGUUCGGAAUUACUGGGCGUAAAGGGCGCGUAGGCGGCCUUCUAAGUCGAACGUGAAAUCCCUGGGCUCAACCCAGGAACUGCGUCCAAGACUGGGAGGCUUGAAUCCGGGAGAGGGAUGCGGAAUUCCAGGUGUAGCGGUGAAAUGCGUAGAUAUCUGGAGGAACACCGAUGGCGAAGGCAGCAUCCUGGACCGGGAUUGACGCUGAGGCGCGAAAGCCAGGGGAGCAAACAGG